GACGAACGCUGGCGGCGUGCUUAACACAUGCAAGUCGAACGGAAAGGCCCUGCUUUUGUGGGGUGCUCGGGUGGCGAACGGGUGAGUAACACGUGAGUAACCUGCCCUUGACUUUGGGAUAACUUCAGGAAACUGGGGCUAAUACCGGAUAGGAGCUCCUGCUGCAUGGUGGGGGUUGGAAAGUUUCGGCGGUUGGGGAUGGACUCGCGGCGUAUCAGCUUGUUGGUGGGGUAGUGGCUUACCAAGGCUUUGACGGGUAGCCGGCCUGGGAGGGUGACCGGCCACAUUGGGCCUGAGAGACGGCCCAGACUCCUACGGGAGGCAGCAGUGGGGAAUAUUGCAGAAUGGGCGGAAGCCUGAUGCAGCAACGCCGCGUGCGGGAUGACGGCCUUCGGGUUGUAAACCGCUUUCGCCUGUGACGAAGCGUGAGUGACGGUAAUGGGUAAAGAAGCACCGGCUAACUACGU
RNAcentral lists this ribosomal RNA (467 nucleotides) under uncultured bacterium. RNAcentral's name for it is "partial 16S ribosomal RNA". It matches the Rfam family "Bacterial small subunit ribosomal RNA", at positions 28 to 506 of the family's 1533-position model. The record is from RNAcentral.